Molecule: ribosomal RNA, 502 nt
Filed under: uncultured bacterium
Lineage: Bacteria
Description: partial 16S ribosomal RNA
Rfam family: Bacterial small subunit ribosomal RNA
Source: RNAcentral
GACGAACGCUGGCGGCGUGCUUAACACAUGCAAGUCGAACGGUGAAGGGGCCUGCUUUUGUGGGCCCUGGAUGAGUGGCGAACGGGUGAGUAACACGUGAGUAACCUGCCCCCUUCUUCUGGAUAACCGCAUGAAAGUGUGGCUAAUACGGGAUAUUCUGGGUCUGUCGCAUGAUGGGUCUGGGAAAGAUUGCGCCUUUGGGUGUUUUUGGUGGGGGAUGGGCUCGCGGCCUAUCAGCUUGUUGGUGGGGUGAUGGCCUACCAAGGCGGUGACGGGUAGCCGGCCUGAGAGGGUGGACGGUCACACUGGGACUGAGACACGGCCCAGACUCCUACGGGAGGCAGCAGUGGGGAAUAUUGCACAAUGGGCGCAAGCCUGAUGCAGCGACGCCGCGUGAGGGAUGGAGGCCUUCGGGUUGUAAACCUCUUUCGCCAGUGAAGCAGGCCUGCUCCGUGUGGGUGGGUUGACGGUAGCUGGAGAAGAAGCGCCGGCUAACUACGUG